CCGACUGCUAUUUGGGUGAGAAUAAAGCCAUGCGAGUCGAAUGGGAGUNCUAAAUUUUCCAUGGCAAACUGCUCAUUAACACAUGAUCAACUUACCCUAUAGAGAAAAAUAACCUCGGGAAACUGAGGAUAAUGUUUCGUAGUUGAAUAGGCUUGGAAAAGUUUUUCAAUAAAAGGGAUAAAAUAAAUGGUUUUUAUCUGCUGUAGGAUAGGAUCGUGGACGAUUAUGGUUGUUGGUGAGGUAACGGCUCACCAAGCCGAUAAUCGAUAGGGGCCGUGAGAGCGGGAGCCCCGAGAUGGGUACUGAGACAACGACCCAGGCCUUACGAGGCGCAGCAGGCGCGGAACCUCCGCAAUACACGAAAGUGUGACGGGGUUACCCAAAGUGUUCAAUUCUGAACUGUGGUAGGUGAGUAAUGUUCCCUACUAGAAAGGAGAGGGCAAGGCUGGUGCCAGCCGCCGCGGUAAAACCAGCUCUUCAAGUGGUCGGGAUAAUUAUUGGGCUUAAAGUGUCCGUAGCCGGUUUAGUAAGUUCCUGGUAAAAUCGGGUAGCUUAACUAUCCGUAUGCUAGGAAUACUGCUAUACUAGAGGGCGGGAGAGGUCUGAGGUACUACAGGGGUAGGGGUGAAAUCUUAUAAUCCUUGUAGGACCACCAGUGGCGAAGGCGUCAGACUGGAACGCGCCUGACGGUGAGGGACGAAAGCCAGGGGAGCGAACCGGAUUAGAUACCCGGGUAGUCCUGGCCGUAAACGAUGCAUACUAUGUGAUGGUACGGCCAUGAGCCGUAUCAGUGCCGUAGGGAAACCGUUAAGUGUGCCGCCUGGGAAGUACGGUCGCAAGGCUAAAACUUAA
This 852-nucleotide ribosomal RNA is filed under the name uncultured archaeon. RNAcentral's name for it is "bacterial SSU rRNA". It matches the Rfam family "Archaeal small subunit ribosomal RNA", at positions 23 to 859 of the family's 1478-position model. The record is from RNAcentral.